GGGAAUUGCCCUAGUAACGGCGAGUGAAGCGGCAACAGCUCAAAUUUGAAAUCUGGCCUUCUUUGGGGGUCCGAGUUGUAAUUUGCAGAGGGCGCUUUGGCGUCGGCAGCGGUCUAAGUUCCUUGGAACAGGACGUCACAGAGGGUGAGAAUCCCGUACGUGGUCGCCUGCCUUCGCCGUGUAAAGCCCCUUCGACGAGUCGAGUUGUUUGGGAAUGCAGCUCUAAAUGGGAGGUAAAUUUCUUCUAAAGCUAAAUACUGGCCAGAGACCGAUAGCGCACAAGUAGAGUGAUCGAAAGAUGAAAAGCACUUUGGAAAGAGAGUCAAACAGCACGUGAAAUUGUUGAAAGGGAAGCGCUUGCCGCCAGACUUGCCCGUGAAGGUUCUCCUCCUCGGGCAGGCCAGCAUCAGUUUGAGCGAUCGGAUAAUGGCCUCUGUCAUGUAUCUUCCUUCGGGAUGACCUUAUAGGGGAGUCGUAGUACGGUCAGCUUGGACUGAGGUCCGCGCAUUUGCUAGGAUGCUGGCGUAAUGGCUGCAAGCGGCCCGUCUUGAAACACGGACCAAGGAGUCUAACAUCUAUGCGAGUGUUUGGGUGUCAAGCCCGAGCGCGCAAUGAAAGUGAACGGAGGUGGGAACCCUCUCUGGGGGUGCACCAUCGACCGAUCCUGAAGUCUUCGGAUGGAUUUGAGUAAGAGCAUGGCUGUUGGGACCCGAAAGAUGGUGAACUAUGCUUGAAUAGGGUGAAGCCAGAGGAAACUCUGGUGGAGGCUCGCAGCGGUUCUGACGUGCAAAUCGAUCGUCAAAUUGGGCAUAGGGGCGAAAGAAAAAAAAAAACAGCUGCC
This 841-nucleotide ribosomal RNA is filed under the name Dictyocheirospora multiappendiculata. RNAcentral's name for it is "Dictyocheirospora sp. HS-2022b partial large subunit ribosomal RNA". It matches the Rfam family "Eukaryotic large subunit ribosomal RNA", at positions 70 to 948 of the family's 3401-position model. Lineage: Eukaryota; Fungi; Ascomycota; Dothideomycetes; Pleosporales; Dictyosporiaceae. The record is from RNAcentral.